This 2306-nucleotide unclassified non-coding RNA is filed under the name Hevea brasiliensis (rubber tree). Lineage: Eukaryota; Viridiplantae; Streptophyta; Magnoliopsida; Malpighiales; Euphorbiaceae. The record is from RNAcentral.
AAUCUAUCCUUGUGAACAUUGAUUGUGAUCUUAUCUAAUCUCUUCAGUAUCUGUCAGAGCCCCGGAGAUCAAUUCCGUUUUCUACAUAUCUUGAAAGAGACGGAGCAAACGAGGUUGAACAAUAUUCCAACAAGAGCAAACGCCUCUUGAAGGCCUUGCUUAGCAUGCGCAAAUCCUGAAAGGAUCACAGAUUGUACAAAUACUUGGAUGAAACUUUAAACAAACUGGAGGCGUGGCAGCCCGAGUUGAAUGUUGAUCCUACUAUUCAAAUUUUUUUUUUUUUUUUUAGCCCCAUUAUGCCGGUUAGCCUAUAGUUGCUGUGUUGCUAUUGCAACUGAAGCUACCUUUCCAAAAAUAAAUGGAUUAAAAGACUUAUAUCCAGUAUAAUCUUGUUUCUUCCGCUAAAUUCUCUCUAUCACAGGAGAGAUCAAUCACCUGUCUCACCCGUUAACCAGUAACAACUUUCGCUGCAUGUAUUCCCAAAGAAAUGGGACACGAAAUUGGGUCCACCUACUAUCAUGGGUAUACAUGGCAAUAUGGUGAGGAAUCUCACACUGACUAACCUGUGCAAUGUUACCAAGAAUCACCACCAAUAGUAAGGUAUUAUGAUCAAAAUAUCAGCCUUUGCUCAAAAUCCAAGAUCAAAAGUCGGCCAUUCAUCAGUUUCCCUUGUACUCUUGAGCUGCUCAUUGCUCUUCUUUUCAUCGUCAGUAGGAACAUAAGAGGUACAACCACUUGAAAACCCAGAAGCAAAAGCUUCAUCACACCCUUUAGUGUCAGCCUUUGUAUUGUCAAGAUGAGACUGGUCAGAGUUUCCAGUUACAGAGUCAUUGGCGAGUUGGCCACCACUAGAAAUAGAUAUUACUUUGGAAGGCAUAAGACUGGUAUAUUUCUCAAUAUCUGUAAAUUUACUUGAUCCUUCAUUAUCCUUAUUUUUGCUUGGCCCAUCUUUUGGCAAAGAUAUUAUGGGUAAUUGACAGUCUUUAGGACAAUCUACCUCUGAAUCUGAGAUGUGAAUCUCCUUAGCAGAGAAAACAGAUGCAGUCAUGUUGUUGUCAGUACAACCUACAACAACACUCUUCUGAGCUAGAGGCUUUUGGAGAAUAGACAAGAUUUGAUGGAUGUCACGUAAGGAUUUGUCUGUAGGAGCGAUAUUGCUUAUUUUUGACCCCUCUACAGCAAAGAUGCUUCUUGAAUCUACAUCCUCCCGUGGACAAGCAUUGCUUUGAAAUUUUCCUAUACUGGAGAUGUUAAAAUUUGAACCAGCAUCCUUCCUUGAACAAGCACUGUUUGUAGCUUCUUUGGGAGUAUAUGGAUCGCCAACUUCCACCAAAUAUUUUGGCAGUCCAAAUGUACUUCCCCUCCUCACUUCCUCUGAUAAACUGACAAGCUUAGUGCUCAGGAUGGCUUUAUCUUCAUUUAGUAAAGUAACCCGCAUUUUGUAAGCGUCACAAGCAAGCCUAAGGAUGCCACUGUGAUACUUCUUGGCCUUUUGAGUUAUCUGACUAGUGUAAAGAGCAUGCCACUCUUUUGCCGGAGAUUUGUGGUCAAGACAAUUCUGAUGUUCGUGCAUUACCCUUUCUUUGCCAAUAAGACUGAUAUUAUUCCCUUGAACAUUCAAAUCCAUAGGAAGUUGAUUUUCUUGUUCAGGUUCUCCAAUGUCGACCAAAUGAGCAUCAAAUACUACUGAUUCAUGAGAUCUUAUUAUCUCAUCUUUCUUGAGGAACCUACUAUCUAAAAGUUUCCUGCUUGCAUCAUACAGCAUGAUCUGCCUCCCUAGGGAUCCACUUUUUGUAAGCCGCAAGAAACCAUCAUGAUACUUCUUGGCUUUUUGAGUCAAUUGCGUUGUGUACAUGACCUGCCAUUCUGUUACAUGAGCGUUUAGUGUAUCUGGAGAUUCUGGACAGCUCCGUAAUGCUCCAUAUCUCUGCAGUUCACUCUUUUUGAAUUCUCUGAUAAUUUUCUGCGAUGGGCUUAGGUUAUUCAACCGAGCUUUGCUCUUCUCUGCAGUAUCCUUGUCAUCUUCAGAAGAAAUUGAAGGACUUGUAAACUUGUGUCGAUGCAUCAAACUCGGCCUGGGCCUCUCGAGAAUUUUCCUUUCUUUCCCACGUAAUUUCAAAUCAGGGAUAGGCUUCUGAUCGACCUCGCCCUCAAGUUCCCCAACAUCGACAAAAUAACCAUUAAAUGUCAGUGUUUCACCAGCGCUCACAACUUCUUCGCCCUUCAAUAUCCUGCAUUCCAAUAGCUUCUCGCAUUCAUCAAAAAGCAUGACCUUGUUGGUUGAGAGGUGAAGAUCUAAGAAACCA